Molecule: long non-coding RNA, 1829 nt
Filed under: Neogobius melanostomus (round goby)
Lineage: Eukaryota; Metazoa; Chordata; Actinopteri; Gobiiformes; Gobiidae
Description: lncRNA (ENSNMLG00000016689.1)
Source: RNAcentral
AAAUCAAAGCAAGCGUAAUAAAAUGAGGUAAUUUAAAGUGACAGGGGACGAGGCAUACGUUCGGCAGCUCAUCUCCAAAGCCACAGAUUAAAUCUGCUUUGAUUAUCUUUACGCCGGGAGACGAGUCAUAAAGAUUGGUCUGUCACCAAUCAGAAUGCGAGCGGAGUUCGCUAGUCAAAUUAAGCGAGUGCCUCCUGCCAACUCUCUUUACUAAACUCAGCGUGUCGCCAGAUAAUUACUCACCAGGAACAUGCUAAAUGAAUCGAACAAUUAAUGAUAACAGUGGGUAAUAAUUAGAAUGUCUCUAGUCGAAUGAUGAAGGCUUAAGAAGCAAAGGGAAUUACAUUGGUGUUUUCAUUUCUAAUAACUUUCAACGUGUCACAGCGACGGUGGGCGAGCAGAACAAAAAGAAGACGAGGAAGCUGCAUUUAAAGAGGAAGCACAGAGUGGACCCUCUGAAGACAGAUGAAGGGCCCACGGAAAGCCCCACGCCCCCGCCUCCUCCAGCAAGCGGAGUGUAACCGAGAAACGUCAGAGUGUGGGACAGAGCAGCCAGUGGAGGUGGACGGACGACAUGAACCAGAGACUGAUAAUGGUUACAAAGACACUUUAAGGAAAAUGAACUUGCAUUAUGUCUAUGCCUGACAUAAGAAUGUUCGACAAGUCUGUUGUGGGCUGAACUUUUCUAUACCAGUGUUUUUAGAUGGUGUCUGUACUCGGCCAUUGCUUUAUUUUUAUCACACCAUAUAACCUUGUUUACAUACCACUACAAAUAAAAUAAAAAGAUGUUUAUCAUUAUCCAGUUUUCCACCAAACUACAUUUGCCGUGGUACAAAAGCAGCAGGUUCAGGCCUCAUGUGGAUAGAGCUGUAGUCAUCUCGAGUGUUUUUCACACACCACUGCUUCAAAUAUAAUCAUUUUUAGGUCCCGUUUUUACGUUAAUGGUGUGAAAUGAGGAUGAGUCACAGCUGAGUCACUCACAAGCGCCGGUUAGGGAAAUUGUUCUCAGAGGCUAAAUUGCUGUAAGAUUGGUAUAAUUUGCUUCACUGUGCUGUACAUAAAAAGGGUUACACUACAUAAUCUUGUAUUUUUAAGCUUUUUAUUUUAUUUUUUUAUAGUCAACAAAAGCUUCAUUGUUUUUUUCCUCGGCACACUGUUACUGACUUUCCAAAUUGUACCAGCAUGUUGUGUACAAACAGAACUCGUCCACAGGGCUAUUUUUACAUGUAGAACUGUUUACGUUUUUCACUCCCCUGACUCGCAGCCACAGGUGGGCCCUUAGGUCUUGCGUUACUGUUCCUGUUUUUGGACUUGUCAGCCGCGCGCCGGGAGGAUAUCAGAAAAUAGCUCCAAUACCCUAAAAAACAACAUGAGAUCUUGGAACAGCCCGGUGUCCCAGUUUCCCUUUGGACAGCCUGUGCAGAAAGGGGAGGGAGGAGUGUCAAUACUCCCCCAAUUUGGAAUGUCAAACUUUGGAAAACUCAAAGUUGAUCAGAGUACCUCACUGACUUAUGUUAAAGAUUAAUGUCAUCUUUGGAAACUAACCAUCAUAUUUGUUAUGAAUGUAGAUGUUUCAGAUAUUUUUUUAUGCAGCUUUGACUUUUAUAACGGCACAAUAAAAGACUGAAUCACAACAAAACCCCUUUAUUAUUAUUAUUUAUGCAUUUGCAUCCAUGCAUUUUUUAUAUUACCUCAUGUGUAUUCCCUAUAUUUCCUCCUAGGUUUCUUUUUUAAUUAUUAUUAUUUUUAUUAUUAAUAUGGCAUUACAUUAACAUUAACAUUCCAUAAGACCGCUAUCUCCCAAAAAUACUCCAAAUGUGACAUCUUAG